Molecule: ribosomal RNA, 340 nt
Filed under: uncultured Bacillota bacterium
Lineage: Bacteria; Bacillati; Bacillota
Description: bacterial SSU rRNA
Rfam family: Bacterial small subunit ribosomal RNA
Source: RNAcentral
GAUGAACGCUGGCGGCGUGCUUAACACAUGCAAGUCGAGCGAGAGAACUUGAAGGAAAACUUCGGUCGGAAUUCGAAUGAUCUAGCGGCGGACGGGUGAGUAACGCGUGGGAAACCUGCCUCAUACAAGGGGAUAGCCUCGGGAAACCGGGAUUAAUACCCUAUAAAGCUUUUGGAACGCAUGUUCUAAAGGUCAAAGCUCCGGCGGUAUGAGAUGGUCCCGCGUCUGAUUAGCUAGUUGGAGAGGUAACGGCUCACCAAGGCGACGAUCAGUAGCCGGCCUGAGAGGGUGAACGGCCACACUGGAACUGAGACACGGUCCAGACUCCUACGGGUGGCAG